RNAcentral lists this long non-coding RNA (647 nucleotides) under Anas platyrhynchos platyrhynchos (common mallard). RNAcentral describes it as "lncRNA (ENSAPLG00000029360.1)". The record is from RNAcentral. Lineage: Eukaryota; Metazoa; Chordata; Aves; Anseriformes; Anatidae.
ACUCAUUUUUUCCCCACACACUCCUUUUUGACCAAUUUUCCCACCCCACAUCCCAUUUUGGGGCUCCUUUUGGCCAAUUCUGGGUCUCCUUUCCACCCAUUUUCCCCCCACACACUCCUUUUUGACCCAAUUUUUCCCCCCCACAUCCCAUUUUGGGGCUCCUUUCCACUCAUUUUGGGGCCCCUUUUCACCCAUUUUCCCCCACCACUCUCCUUUUUGACCCAAUUUUUCCCCCCACAUCCCAUUUUGUGUCUCCUUUCUACCCAUUUUUCCCCCCACAACCUCCUUUUUGACCUGAUUUUUUCCCCCACAUCCCUUUUUGGGGCUCCUUUUGACCCAUUCUGAGGCUCCUUUCCACCCAUUUCCCCCCCCCACUCUCCAUUUUGACCCAUUUUUCCCACCUCACAUCCCAUUUUGGGGCUCCUUUUGACCCACUUUCCCCCCACACACUACUUUUUGACCCAGUUUUUCCCCACACAUCCCAUUUUGGGGCUCCUUUCCACCCAUUUUGGGGCCCCUUUUGACCCACUUUUCCCCACCACUCUCCUUUUUGACCCAUUUUUCCCACUGCACGUCCCAUUCUGGGGCUCCUUUCCAUCCAUUUUUCCCCCCACACACUACUUUUUGACCCAAUUUUUCCCCCCACA